AUGAUCUGCUUCAAUUGCAGUUGGCCUGGUCACUAUGUGGAGAAUUGUGUGGAGCCAAAAAACUGCUUUAUCUGUGUUGGGAAUCAUAAUGUUAACAACGGUGCUGCAUGGGCGAAACCACAGCUGGCUCUCACUUACUUUGGUAGUGCUGCAUCAGGGCUAGGGUUCUAUCAUAUCGAGGUUCCUGUGGUGGUUGAAUCUAGUUGGCUUAACUAUAAGAAUUGUGUUGUUCUCAAGGUGGUUAAAGGUGAGGUUUCUGCCUCGGAUCUGUUGACACAACUUAAUGGGAUCUUUUGUAAGAACAUGGAGUGUUCGUGA
This 318-nucleotide ribosomal RNA is filed under the name Triticum aestivum (bread wheat). RNAcentral's name for it is "partial small subunit ribosomal RNA". Lineage: Eukaryota; Viridiplantae; Streptophyta; Magnoliopsida; Poales; Poaceae. The record is from RNAcentral.